The sequence is a ribosomal RNA, 255 nucleotides long. It matches the Rfam family "Bacterial large subunit ribosomal RNA", at positions 2239 to 2493 of the family's 2925-position model.
UCGUGGUGGGAGACAGUGUCAGGCGGGCAGUUUGACUGGGGCGGUCGCCUCCUAAAAGGUAACGGAGGCGCUCAAAGGUUCCCUCAGAAUGGUUGGAAAUCAUUCGUAGAGUGUAAAGGCAUAAGGGUGCUUGACUGCGAGACCUACAAGUCGAGCAGGGUCGAAAGACGGACUUAGUGAUCCGGUGGUUCCGCAUGGAAGGGCCAUCGCUCAACGGAUAAAAUCUACCCCGGGGAUAACAGGCUUAUCUCCCCC